Molecule: ribosomal RNA, 818 nt
Filed under: uncultured bacterium
Lineage: Bacteria
Description: bacterial SSU rRNA
Rfam family: Bacterial small subunit ribosomal RNA
Source: RNAcentral
AACGAACGCUGGCGGCAGGCUUAACACAUGCAAGUUGAACGGGAACAUACGAUAGCUUGCUAUAGUAUGUGAGAGUGGCGCACGGGUGAGUAAUACAUGGGAAACAUACCUUAAAGUGGGGGAUAACUUCGGAAACGGAUGCUAAUACCGCAUAUACCCUGAGGGGGAAAGAUUUAUCGCUUUAAGAUUGGCCCAUGGCAGAUUAGGUAGUUGGUGGGGUAAAGGCCUACCAAGCCGACGAUCUGUAGCUGGUCUGAGAGGACGAUCAGCCACAUUGGGACUGAGACACGGCCCAGACUCCUACGGGAGGCAGCAGUGAGGAAUAUUGGGCAAUGGGGGCAACCCUGACCCAGCCAUGCCGCGUGAGUGAAGAAGGUUUUCGAAUUGUAAAGCUCUUUCGGAUGUGACGAUGAUGACGGUAGCAUCUAAAGAAGCCCCGGCAAACUUCGUGCCAGCAGCCGCGGUAAUACGAAGGGGGCGAGCGUUGUUCGGAAUUACUGGGCGUAAAGGGUGUGUAGGUGGACGUGUAAGAUAGCGGUGAAAUGCCGGAGCUCAACUUCGGAAUUGCCAUUAUAACUAUGCGUCUAGAAUUAUAGAGAGGAUAGCGGAAUACCCAGUGUAGAGGUGAAAUUCGUAGAUAUUGGGUAGAACACCAGUGGCGAAGGCGGCUAUCUGGCUAUAUAUUGACACUGAGGCACGAAAGCAUGGGGAUCAAACAGGAUUAGAUACCCUGGUAGUCCAUGCCGUAAACGAUGAAUGCUGGUUGUCGGACGAAUGUUCGGUGACGAAGUUAACGCGAUAAGCAUUCCGCCUGGGGA